GUCGGAGUGGCGGAAUGGCAGACGCGCAUGGUUGAGGGCCAUGUGCCCGCGAGGGCGUGGGGGUUCAAGUCCCCCCUCCGACA
Molecule: transfer RNA, 83 nt
Filed under: Actinomycetota bacterium
Lineage: Bacteria; Bacillati; Actinomycetota
Description: tRNA-Leu
Rfam family: tRNA
About the family: Transfer RNA (tRNA) molecules are approximately 80 nucleotides in length. Their secondary structure includes four short double-helical elements and three loops (D, anti-codon, and T loops).
Source: RNAcentral